UAACACGUGAGUAACCUGCCCCUUACUCUGGGAUAACUUCGGGAAACUGGAGCUAAUACCGGAUACGAGACGCACAGGCAUCUGUAGCGUUUGGAAAGAAUUUCGGUAAGGGAUGGACUCGCGGCCUAUCAGCUUGUUGGUGAGGUAAUGGCUCACCAAGGCGACGACGGGUAGCCGGCCUGAGAGGGCGACCGGCCACACUGGAACUGAGACACGGUCCAGACUCCUACGGGAGGCAGCAGUGGGGAAUAUUGCACAAUGGGCGCAAGCCUGAUGCAGCAACGCCGCGUG
Molecule: ribosomal RNA, 291 nt
Filed under: uncultured Actinomycetes bacterium
Lineage: Bacteria; Bacillati; Actinomycetota; Actinomycetes
Description: uncultured actinobacterium partial 16S ribosomal RNA
Rfam family: Bacterial small subunit ribosomal RNA
Source: RNAcentral